Molecule: ribosomal RNA, 468 nt
Filed under: uncultured bacterium
Lineage: Bacteria
Description: partial 16S ribosomal RNA
Rfam family: Bacterial small subunit ribosomal RNA
Source: RNAcentral
GACGAACGCUGGCGGCGUGCUUAACACAUGCAAGUCGAACGGAAAGGCCCUGCUUUUGUGGGGUGCUCGAGUGGCGAACGGGUGAGUAACACGUGAGUAACCUGCCCUUGACUUUGGGAUAACUUCAGGAAACUGGGGCUCAUACCGGAUAGGAUCUCCUGCUGCAUGGUGGGGGUUGGAAAGUUUCGGCGGUUGGGGAUGGACUCGCGGCUUAUCAGCUUGUUGGUGGGGUAGCGGCUUACCAAGGCUUUGACGGGUAGCCGGCCUGAGAGGGUGACCGGCCACAUUGGGACUGAGAUACGGCCCAGACUCCUACGGGAGGCAGCAGUGGGGAGUAUUGCACAAUGGGGGGAAGCCUGAUGCAGCAACGCCGCGUGCGGGAUGACGGCCUUCGGGUUGUAAACCGCUUUCGCCUGUGACGAGGCGUGAGUGACGGUAAUGGGUAAAGAAGCACCGGCUAACUACGUG